AUGAAUGCUGGCUGUAUGGAUAAGGCAUGCAAGUCGAACGGACCGCAAGGUCAGUGGCAGACGAGGUAGUAACACGUAGGUACGUACUCCGAAGUCGGGCAUAGCCAACCGAAAGGUUGGGUAAUUCCCGAUAGUCCCGUAAGGGUAAAGAUUUAUCGCUUCGGAAGCGGCCUGCGUAGUAUCAGCUUGUUGGUAAGGUAACGGCUUACCAAGGCUACGACGCUUAGGGGAGCUGAGAGGCUGACCCCCACCGAUGGGACUGAGACACGGCCCAUACUCCUACGGGAGGCCGCAGUCGAGAAUCUUCCGCAAUGGACGCAAGUCUGACGGAGCGAUACAGCGUGAUGGACGAAGUGCUUCGGUACGUAAACAUCUUUUAUGUGGGACGAAAUUAUUGACGGUACCACAUGAAUAAGGGGCUCCUAACUCUGU
This 432-nucleotide ribosomal RNA is filed under the name uncultured bacterium. Its description in RNAcentral is "bacterial SSU rRNA". It matches the Rfam family "Bacterial small subunit ribosomal RNA", at positions 29 to 506 of the family's 1533-position model. The record is from RNAcentral.